GGAGAGUUUGAUCCUGGCUCAGGGCGAACGCUGGCGGCGUGCCUAAAACAUGCAAGUCGAGCGGGGGUUGGCCGCGGGGCAACCCGCGGUUUCAGCUCUAGCGGCGAACGGGUGAGUAACACGUGGGCAACCUACCCCGGAGACGGGGAUAACCCCGGGAAACCGGGGCUAAUACCCGAUGCCCUCCCCUGGGGGCAUCCCCGGGAGAGGAAAGGGUUGGGCGCAAGCCCUUCCGCUUCGGGAUGGGCCCGCGGCCUAUCAGCUCGUUGGUGGGGUAACGGCCCACCAAGGCGAUGACGGGUAGCUGGCCUGAGAGGGUGGUCAGCCACACUGGGACUGAGACACGGCCCAGACUCCUACGGGAGGCAGCAGUUGGGAAUCUUGGGCAAUGGGCGCAAGCCUGACCCAGCGACGCCGCGUG
RNAcentral lists this ribosomal RNA (421 nucleotides) under Bacillota bacterium. Its description in RNAcentral is "bacterial SSU rRNA". It matches the Rfam family "Bacterial small subunit ribosomal RNA", at positions 8 to 403 of the family's 1533-position model. The record is from RNAcentral. Lineage: Bacteria; Bacillati; Bacillota.